GUAUCUUGCGACUGUUUUAAAAAUUCAAUGAGAUAAAAAAAAUGCCGAAUGCUACCGGAGGUCGUUUUUAUUUUCUUUGUUCUAAGCUUCAAGACCUUGGUUGAAAUGUCCCUGGUCUGACAAAGAGCUGGUGUGAUAGAAGAAAGAAUGCGUAUUGUUAUUAUUUUACAUGAUACUACGAAGUGGAAUUGAAAGGCUAACAUGGACUCAACGAUAUUCUUUUUAUUCUCCGCUGCUCACGUGGGCUCCGUGGACCAUCAUCAUUAGGUUAGGUUAGUUUAGGUUAGACGCCUUAUAUUUGCUGUUUAUAGUUACUUACCAUAAAUCCUCCCCCGUGUAUUUCUGUAUUAAGUAUGAAGUGUUAACGUGAUGUAGGUGUGGAUGUAGGCGGCGCUCGUUCUUCUACGGCUUGAGUGAAUGGAUAUGUAGUGGGGAAAGGCUGAGUUAGUUAUAAAAAAAUGUAAUAUAUAAAGGUUGAGUUAUGGCUAGGGAAGAAAGAUGUAAUAGAAAAAAUAUGAGGUAUUAUCAGCUAAGAAUGAUGUAUCAGGGAAAGAUUGAGUCAGUUAAGAAAGAUGUAAUAGAGAAAAGUUGAGGUAUUGUCAGUUAAGAAUGAUGUAUCAGGGAAAGGUUGAGUUAGUUAAGAAAGAUGUAAUAGAGAAAAGUUGAGGUAUUGUCAGCUAAGAAGGAUGUAACAGGGAAAGGUUGAGUUAGUUAAGAAAGAUGUAAUAGAGAAAAGUUGAGGUAUUGUGAGCUUAGAAUGAUGUAUCAGGGAAAGGUUGAGUUAGUUAAGAAAGAUGUAAUAGAGAAAAGUUGAGGUAUUGUCAGCUAAGAAGGAUGUAUCAGGGAAAGGUUGAGUUAGUUAAGAAAGAUGUAAUAGAGAAAAGUUGAGGUAUUAUCAGCUAAGAAUGAUGUAUCAGGGAAAGGUUGAGUUAGUUAAGAAAGAUGUAAUAGAGAAAAGUUGAGGUAUUAUCAGCUAAGAAUGAUGUAUCAGGGAAAGGUUGAGUUAGUUAAGAAAGAUGUAAUAGAGAAAAGUUGAGGUAUUAUCAGCUAAGAAUGAUGUAUCAGGGAAAGGUUGAGUCAGUUAAGAAAGAUGUAAUAGAGAAAAGUUGAGGUAUUGUCAGUUAAGAAUGAUGUAUCAGGGAAAGGUUGAGUUAGUUAAGAAAGAUGUAAUAGAGAAAAGUUGAGGUAUUGUCAGCUAAGAAUGAUGUAUCAGGGAAAGGUUGAGUUAGUUAAGAAAGAUAUAAUACAUAAAGGUUGAGUUAUGGUCAGCUAAGAAGAAUGUAAUUAGGAAAUGUUGAGUUAGUUAAGAAAGAUGUGAUAGGGAAAUGUUGUGUUAUGGUUAGGUAAGAAAGAUGUAGUAGGGAAAA
Eriocheir sinensis (Chinese mitten crab) is the source of this 1367-nucleotide long non-coding RNA. RefSeq lists it as uncharacterized. The record is from RefSeq and is a predicted model, not a curated record. The transcript is spliced from 3 exons. Lineage: Eukaryota; Metazoa; Arthropoda; Malacostraca; Decapoda; Varunidae.